Molecule: non-coding RNA, 112 nt
Filed under: marine sediment metagenome
Also listed under: 1 other name
Description: SAM riboswitch aptamer (S box leader)
Rfam family: SAM riboswitch aptamer (S box leader)
About the family: The SAM riboswitch is found upstream of a number of genes which code for proteins involved in methionine or cysteine biosynthesis in Gram-positive bacteria. The SAM riboswitch acts at the level of transcription termination control.
Source: RNAcentral
UCUUAUCCAGAGAGGUGGAGGGACUGGCCCAAUGAAACCCGGCAACCGCCAAUCGUUUUGCGGUUGGAAAGGUGCCAAUUCCUGCAGAACCAGGGGGUUCUGAGAGAUGAGG